GUGGGGAAUAUUGGGCAAUGGGGGAAACCCUGACCCAGCGACGCCGCGUGAGGGAAGAAGGCCUUAGGGUCGUAAACCUCUGUUGUGUGGGAAGAAGAGCGUGACGGUACCACACGAGGAAGUCCCGGCUAACUACGUGCCAGCAGCCGCGGUAAUACGUAGGGGACGAGCGUUGUCCGGAUUUACUGGGCGUAAAGGGCGCGUAGGCGGUCAUUUAAGUCAGCUGUGAAAUGGUUUGGCUUAACCGGAUCAUGCGGUUGAAACUGGAUGACUGGAGUGCUGGAGAGGCAAGUGGAAUUCCCAGUGUAGCGGUGAAAUGCGUAGAUAUUGGUAAGAACACCGGUGGCGAAGGCGACUUGCUGGCCAGCAACUGACGCUGAGGCGCGAAAGCCAGGGGAGCAAACGGGAUUAGAAACCCUUGUAGUCC
This 427-nucleotide ribosomal RNA is filed under the name uncultured bacterium. RNAcentral describes it as "partial 16S ribosomal RNA". It matches the Rfam family "Bacterial small subunit ribosomal RNA", at positions 354 to 796 of the family's 1533-position model. The record is from RNAcentral.